Molecule: long non-coding RNA, 967 nt
Organism: Helianthus annuus (common sunflower)
Lineage: Eukaryota; Viridiplantae; Streptophyta; Magnoliopsida; Asterales; Asteraceae
Exons: 7
Source: RefSeq, a predicted model, not a curated record
GCCAGAAUAAAAUGAACAGUUUCGUUUAUUUGACGGUUUGUGGUUAGAGCUCGAAGAUUUUGAACAAUUGGUUCAACACUUUCGGAUGCAAGCUGUGAAUUUGUGAUUACCAUUCCACAACACUCUCAAAGGUAUGGACACUUUAAUGGUUUUCUAAUCAUUAGAGGAAAAGGAAAGCCCAGCGAUCAAGCACCCCCACCCCAAAAGCUGAGACCGGAGAACUGCCAGGCGACGAGUCUGCUGGUAAAGGAGGGCUGGCAUCCUGUUUGAUCGCUUAACACAAUCAUGGCCUCAAUACCCAUUCUUAAUGAACGUUGUGGCUUUACACUUGAAACCGACUGCAAGGUACAAUGACCCGUGCAAAGAUUUCUGAAAUUAAUGCCUGCAAUGACACUGAUCUUCUUGAUGCACGACCCAUGAAGAUAUGGUUUUCUUAUGUUAUGAUCGAAAUAAUAAUGAAUACUGCUAUCUUUUGGUUGAUAAACAUGUACACUUAAAAAAUUACAACACCGUUCUCAUAUUAUGUUGGAAAAGAAGAUAAGAUUCCAGGCGUACUCACCCAAACCAACCAAGGGCUGACUAGAAUAAGACUUCAAGAUCAAAGUGUGAACACACUUCGACUUUGCAGCAGGUUGGAGUUCUUCGUUUCGCUUACAAAAGUUGUGAGUUGCGAGCAAGUCUCUCUGCAAUUAAAUUUAACAGUAUAGAUACCAUGACGAACCAAAUUAGUACCGAUCAAAUGCCUGUCGCAAAGAAUGAUUUGGUUUAACGUGAUCGUGUUCUGAGUUGUGUUGUAAAAUGUACAUGUUAUCAUAACAAGGAUGUUUUGGUUGAGUGCGCCGCAACGCGGCGUUGUGUAUAAAUUUAUUAUAAAAACAACAUUGAGUGUCUCUUUUAUAGUUGUCUUUUUUCAGUUACAUUUACUGUAAAAACAAAAUUUGUGUGCUAUAUAUCUGUGUUCAUUUGA